RNAcentral lists this ribosomal RNA (375 nucleotides) under uncultured eukaryote. RNAcentral's name for it is "partial 18S ribosomal RNA". It matches the Rfam family "Eukaryotic small subunit ribosomal RNA", at positions 592 to 976 of the family's 1831-position model. The record is from RNAcentral.
CAAUAGCGUAUAUUUAAGUUGUUGCAGUUAAAAAGCUCGUAGUUGGAUUUCGGUUAAGAGCGACCGGUCCGCCGUUUGGUGUGCACUGGUUGGUUUUAACUUCCUGUAGAGGACGUGCUCUGGGUUUAACGACCUGGACUCGGAGUCUACGUGGUUACUUUGAAAAAAUUAGAGUGUUCAAAGCGGGCUUACGCUGGAAUAUUUCAGCAUGGAAUAACACUAUAGGACUCCUGUCCUAUUUCGUUGGUCUCGGGACGGGAGUAAUGAUUAAGAGGAACAGUUGGGGGCAUUCGUAUUUCAUUGUCAGAGGUGAAAUUCUUGGAUUUAUGAAAGACGAACUUCUGCGAAAGCAUUUGCCAAGGAUGUUUUCAUUAA